Non-coding RNA from Gossypium raimondii (Peruvian cotton), 106 nucleotides. The record is from Rfam. Lineage: Eukaryota; Viridiplantae; Streptophyta; Magnoliopsida; Malvales; Malvaceae.
AACCAUGGUGAGGGCACUGUCUCAAUAAGUUCGUAUACCUCUCCUAUGCAUCAUAUAGGGUCUCAAAAUUAAUCUGAAUGAAGGAAGAGAUAUUAUUCCUCAACGU